CCUACGGGUGGCAGCAGUGAGGAAUAUUGGCCAAUGGGCGGGAGCCUGAACCAGCCAAGCCGCGUGAGGGAAGAAGGUACAGCGUAUCGUAAACCUCUUUUGUCAGGGAACAAAGGCGGGGACUAGUCCCCGGAUGAGGGUACCUGAAGAAAAAGCAUCGGCUAACUCCGUGCCAGCAGCCGCGGUAAUACGGAGGAUGCGAGCGUUAUCCGGAUUUAUUGGGUUUAAAGGGUGCGCAGGCGGCCUGUUAAGUCAGCGGGAAAAGCCCGGGGCUCACCCCCGGCGAGCCGUUGAAACUGGCGGGCUGGAGUUGGAGAGAGGUACGCGGAAUGCGCGGUGUAGCGGUGAAAUGCUUAGAUAUCGCGCAGAACCCCGAUUGCGAAGGCAGCGUACCGGCUCCACACUGACGCUGAGGCACGAAAGCGUGGGUAUCGAACAGGAUUAGAUACCCGAGUAGUC
This 459-nucleotide ribosomal RNA is filed under the name uncultured bacterium. RNAcentral's name for it is "partial 16S ribosomal RNA". It matches the Rfam family "Bacterial small subunit ribosomal RNA", at positions 338 to 795 of the family's 1533-position model. The record is from RNAcentral.